Falco peregrinus (peregrine falcon) is the source of this 1453-nucleotide long non-coding RNA. RefSeq lists it as uncharacterized. The record is from RefSeq and is a predicted model, not a curated record. Lineage: Eukaryota; Metazoa; Chordata; Aves; Falconiformes; Falconidae. The transcript has 3 exons.
UCCAGGAACGCUUUCACUUUCUUUUGCAGAUUCCCUGACCGGAUCCCUGCAGCACACCUCACCCCCCGGGCUUGAAGCUGAGCGCAGGUGCCCGGGUGUUCCCUGCCCCGCACCAGGGGGAGGGCUGAUCCCGCACCCCCCGAGGCAGCGGGACGGUCCCCAGCCCUGGAGGGGACCCGCAGCCUCCGUGGGUGCUGCUACCGGGCGUGGAGGGUGUCUGCGGGUGUCUCACCCAUGAUGCGGAAAUGUUCCUCCCAGCGGGGAAAAAGAUGUGGAAAAAGGACCAGGGAAGUGUUUCAGGCUUGCCAUAAUGCAGACAUAAUAAGCCUCGACAUAAUGCAGGAUUACGUCUGAAAUGGCUUUCGCAUAGGCGCUGGAGAAAAGCAAGCAGGGGCACUGAAACUGAAAACACAUUGGAAUUUCCAGUUGGCCUUUGGAGCUUGCUGGAUGCCUCAGUCCACCACCAGCAAGGAAAGGGCUGGCUGCCUGUAAGCUCCAUCUCCAGCAGAGCUUUGCUUAACUGAGGCACCAAAACUACCUGUGAUGCCAGUGUGCGUUGUGCAGAUGUUUAAAAUAGGGUAAUGCAGGCUCUGCUGAUACCCAUUGAGGUUCUGGCUGGGCUUCUUUCCAGUCAGGCUGAAAAGGAUGCCACCUUGCACAAAAGGAAUAAAACAAAUAUUUGUAUGCAGAGUCUUGGAUAGUUUUGUGAUGAUAUUUGAAUUUAAGCAUUCAUUAAAACUGAAAUUGCUCCGAGUCAGUGGGUGAGCUGGGAGGGAAAGACAGAUAAUGCUACUGUGAAUGGGGCCAUAUAGCGAUGCUUUGCUCCCAGCAGAUUGUGCAGAUCCUGGUAAUGUUUUGUCUUUAUGUGUUUCUCACCUUCUGUCUUACCUCUUUAACUUUCUGAAGGAGCAGGGAAAUAAUUGAACGCUGUGCUGACUUUCUAAGUUGUUGUAAAUAGCUGUGAGAGCCACUGUUUCAGGAUGGUAAAGUCAAUUUCUUGCCACUCUGCGAGCUAUCGACAGGCUCUGGGGAGGCUGCAGCAGCCAGCACUGUGCUGCCCUGGCUCCUGCUUUGUGCUUUGGAGGGUAAGGUCCCGGGGGGCUGGGAGCACGGCAUUACCACCCCAAGGCCAUCCAGUUCCAUUCGAACCCACGGCAGCAGGACCCCGCUCACAUUUCCAGAAGGAUUCACGGUUUCAUCCUUUGCCGCCUCCUUGCAGUUUAAUCAGAGGCACCUGGUCCCUGUCACUGCCAGCUCCGAGGCACUAUGUUUAGAUGGAUCGGUGUGGUGGUCCCUUCCUCAUGUCGGUGGGCCACGCUAGAAAUAGCGGUAACAUAAUACAUUAAAUAAAGCAGCACUUACAUUAGCAACAGUAGAGAAUUUUAUUCGGUAACUUACAAUAGUUACUCAGAGUAGAACCUCUUUGCAUUGUAUGAUUUUAUACUGAAUUAAA